ACUCUAAUAGGGCUUUUCAUAUUUAUCCUCUUAAAAACCAUAGAAGUCCGAUUUCGACAUGCUCGAAACUGACAAAAAGCAUAUGGGGGGGUUGUGAUGAAGGGAGGAUCCUUGGAACUAGAGUUCAGUUCUGUGCAGAUCAAAUCAAGGAACUAGAGUCCAUAGAGUUCACAGAACUGGACUAUCCAAGAACAGAGUUCUGAUCAUGGUGGAUCCACGACCAAGGUAAGAAAGGAAUCAGCCAACACAACUAUACCGUACAAAUUGGAACUUCAGUGUGCCAUCAAAAGUUGUUCCAUUACCGAGUGCAAUCAGAAGGUAGCCACGUUGUUUGAAGGACCCGGUGCGUGUCGGAGAAUAGUGUCCUUUGCAUAUUCAAAUGGCACCUAAGCGAGUGGUCCCCUCCUUAAGUGGAGCUUGGCUCUCCGGACCCCAAAACUCCAAACCUCAAGUGAAUGAGGAAGGAAGGACCCUGCCAAUAAGGUUCUGUGCAACUAGUGUCCUUGGAAGAAGUUCCAGCAACCGUGGACUCCAAAGCCCCAAACUUGAACCGUGUCCCGAAAUUUGGACGUUUGGAUCUCGCUUGUGAACCGUUGGAUUGCCACGGAGUUUUUCUGGUGUGUGCUCCUUCAGAGGAUCUAUCUUCCCACCGUUGCGAUUGGCGAAAAGGUACCUGGUUCAGCCGCCGCCGCAAUCCCUAGGUCGUCCAUAACCCUAGCCACCGCCAUAGAUAGGGUCACCUUGAUCUCCUGAUUCCUGGCUCCAAAUCGCUUGUUCUUGGACUCACAAUGAUCGUGGGGAUGUGCUCUCUCCAGCCGUGAAAAGGAAUCAUGGAAAAUACAGGUGGGCAGCUUGCAGUGACUAAAAGAGUACUCUUAAACAUGUUUGCUCAUGGAACAUGCAAAUCCAUUGAAACCAAAGCACGACUCGCUCUCAGCAUCAUCCUUAUUGCUCUCCUAGUCCUACUCCUACUUUGGAUCAAGCACGAAAGUUGACUCUCAAGGCACUCCUCUUCUUGCUAAACUUAGGGUUUUUCUCCUCUAGUCCAACUUUCUCAAGUAUCACACUCUGAAAUGGCCAUGCCAGUGCUGGAAUGCAU
RNAcentral lists this long non-coding RNA (1099 nucleotides) under Selaginella moellendorffii. Its description in RNAcentral is "long non-coding RNA (SMOE_LNC002336)". Lineage: Eukaryota; Viridiplantae; Streptophyta; Lycopodiopsida; Selaginellales; Selaginellaceae. The record is from RNAcentral.